UACUAUGUUACGACUUAUCUUAUCUUAAAAUAAGAGCGACGGGCGAUGUGUGCAUAUUUUAGAGCUAAAAUCAAAUUUUUAAUCUUUAAAAUUUUACUAUCAAAUCCAUCUUCAUUAAAUAUUUCAAAUUUAAAUUCGCUUAAAUAAUUUUAUUGUAACCCAUUUCUACUUAAAUAUAAGCUACACCUUGAUCUGAUAUAAAUUUUAAUAAAAAUUAUAGAAAAUUAUUAUUCUUAUAAAAUAUUCUUAUAACGACGGUAUAUAAACUGAAAAACAAAUUUAAGUAAGGUACAUCGUGGAUUAUCAAUUACAGAACAGGUUCCUCUGAAUAGACUAAAAUACCGCCAAAUUUUUUAAGUUUCAAGAACAUAACUAAUACUACCUUAAUGUUUAUAUUUACAUUUCAAAUAAUAGGGUAUCUAAUCCUAGUUUA
RNAcentral lists this ribosomal RNA (433 nucleotides) under Rhagoletis suavis. Its description in RNAcentral is "partial 12S ribosomal RNA". Lineage: Eukaryota; Metazoa; Arthropoda; Insecta; Diptera; Tephritidae. The record is from RNAcentral.